This 1341-nucleotide ribosomal RNA is filed under the name Escherichia coli. RNAcentral describes it as "partial 23S ribosomal RNA". It matches the Rfam family "Bacterial large subunit ribosomal RNA", at positions 544 to 1869 of the family's 2925-position model. The record is from RNAcentral. Lineage: Bacteria; Pseudomonadati; Pseudomonadota; Gammaproteobacteria; Enterobacterales; Enterobacteriaceae.
AAGAACCUGAAACCGUGUACGUACAAGCAGUGGGAGCACAGAGCAAUCUGUGUGACUGCGUACCUUUUGUAUAAUGGGUCAGCGACUUAUAUUCUGUAGCAAGGUUAACCGAAUAGGGGAGCCGAAGGGAAACCGAGUCUUAACUGGGCGUUAAGUUGCAGGGUAUAGACCCGAAACCCGGUGAUCUAGCCAUGGGCAGGUUGAAGGUUGGGUAACACUAACUGGAGGACCGAACCGACUAAUGUUGAAAAAUUAGCGGAUGACUUGUGGCUGGGGGUGAAAGGCCAAUCAAACCGGGAGAUAGCUGGUUCUCCCCGAAAGCUAUUUAGGUAGCGCCUCGUGAAUUCAUCUCCGGGGGUAGAGCACUGUUUCGGCAAGGGGGUCAUCCCGACUUACCAACCCGAUGCAAACUGCGAAUACCGGAGAAUGUUAUCACGGGAGACACACGGCGGGUGCUAACGUCCGUCGUGAAGAGGGAAACAACCCAGACCGCCAGCUAAGGUCCCAAAGUCAUGGUUAAGUGGGAAACGAUGUGGGAAGGCCCAGACAGCCAGGAUGUUGGCUUAGAAGCAGCCAUCAUUUAAAGAAAGCGUAAUAGCUCACUGGUCGAGUCGGCCUGCGCGGAAGAUGUAACGGGGCUAAACCAUGCACCGAAGCUGCGGCAGCGACACUGUGUGUUGUUGGGUAGGGGAGCGUUCUGUAAGCCUGCGAAGGUGUGCUGUGAGGCAUGCUGGAGGUAUCAGAAGUGCGAAUGCUGACAUAAGUAACGAUAAAGCGGGUGAAAAGCCCGCUCGCCGGAAGACCAAGGGUUCCUGUCCAACGUUAAUCGGGGCAGGGUGAGUCGACCCCUAAGGCGAGGCCGAAAGGCGUAGUCGAUGGGAAACAGGUUAAUAUUCCUGUACUUGGUGUUACUGCGAAGGGGGGACGGAGAAGGCUAUGUUGGCCGGGCGACGGUUGUCCCGGUUUAAGCGUGUAGGCUGGUUUUCCAGGCAAAUCCGGAAAAUCAAGGCUGAGGCGUGAUGACGAGGCACUACGGUGCUGAAGCAACAAAUGCCCUGCUUCCAGGAAAAGCCUCUAAGCAUCAGGUAACAUCAAAUCGUACCCCAAACCGACACAGGUGGUCAGGUAGAGAAUACCAAGGCGCUUGAGAGAACUCGGGUGAAGGAACUAGGCAAAAUGGUGCCGUAACUUCGGGAGAAGGCACGCUGAUAUGUAGGUGAAGUCCCUCGCGGAUGGAGCUGAAAUCAGUCGAAGAUACCAGCUGGCUGCAACUGUUUAUUAAAAACACAGCACUGUGCAAACACGAAAGUGGACGUAUACGGUGUGACGCCUGCCCGGUGC